CCUACGGGAGGCUGCAGUGGGGAAUAUUGGACAAUGGGGGGAACCCUGAUCCAGCCAUGCCGCGUGUGUGAAGAAAGCCCUCGGGUUGUAAAGCACUUUCAGUGAGGAAGAACGCCUGGUGGUUAAUACCCAUCAGGAAAGACAUCACUCACAGAAGAAGCACCGGCUAACUCCGUGCCAGCAGCCGCGGUAAUACGGAGGGUGCGAGCGUUAAUCGGAAUUACUGGGCGUAAAGCGCGCGUAGGUGGCUUGAUAAGCCGGUUGUGAAAGCCCCGGGCUCAACCUGGGAACGGCAUCCGGAACUGUCAAGCUAGAGUGCAGGAGAGGAAGGUAGAAUUCCCGGUGUAGCGGUGAAAUGCGUAGAGAUCGGGAGGAAUACCAGUGGCGAAGGCGGCCUUCUGGACUGACACUGACACUGAGGUGCGAAAGCGUGGGUAGCAAACAGGAUUAGAUAUCCUAGUAGUC
This 465-nucleotide ribosomal RNA is filed under the name Vreelandella stevensii. Its description in RNAcentral is "partial 16S ribosomal RNA". It matches the Rfam family "Bacterial small subunit ribosomal RNA", at positions 338 to 795 of the family's 1533-position model. Lineage: Bacteria; Pseudomonadati; Pseudomonadota; Gammaproteobacteria; Oceanospirillales; Halomonadaceae. The record is from RNAcentral.